UUACAAGAAUUGAUUUAAUCAUAUAUGAUUUCGACUCAUACUUAGAUGUACUUACAUCCUUGUAAU
RNAcentral lists this transfer RNA (66 nucleotides) under Acanthosepion pharaonis. RNAcentral's name for it is "Sepia pharaonis tRNA-Arg". The record is from RNAcentral. Lineage: Eukaryota; Metazoa; Mollusca; Cephalopoda; Sepiida; Sepiidae.